UGGGGAAUCUUGCACAAUGGGGGAAACCCUGAUGCAGCGACGCCGCGUGAGUGAUGAAGCCCUUCGGGGUGUAAAGCUCUUUCGACCCGGAAGAUUAUGACGGUACGGGGAGAAGAAGCUGCGGCUAACUACGUGCCAGCAGCCGCGGUAAUACGUAGGCAGCGAGCGUUGUUCGGAGUUACUGGGCGUAAAGCGUGCGUAGGCGGUGUCUUAAGUUUGUUGUGAAAUCUCCCGGCUUAACCGGGAGGGUGCGGCGAAUACUGAGAUGCUGGAGUGCGGGAGAGGUAAGCGGAAUUCCUGGUGUAGCGGUGAAAUGCGUAGAUAUCAGGAGGAACACCUGCGGUGUAGACGGCUUACUGGACCGUAACUGACGCUGAGGCACGAAAGCGUGGGUAGCAAACAG
Molecule: ribosomal RNA, 403 nt
Filed under: uncultured bacterium
Lineage: Bacteria
Description: bacterial SSU rRNA
Rfam family: Bacterial small subunit ribosomal RNA
Source: RNAcentral